GGACGAACGCUGGCGGCGUGCUUAACACAUGCAAGUCGAGCGGUAAGGCCCUUUCGGGGGUACACGAGCGGCGAACGGGUGAGUAACACGUGGGUGACCUGCCCUCAGCUCUGGGAGUAAGCCUGGGAAACCGGGUCUAAUACUGGAUAUGACUCCAUGACGCAUGUUGUGGGUGGAAAGCCUUGUAGCGGCUGAGGAUGGGCCCGCGGCCUAUCAGCUUGUUGUGGGUGAUGGCCUACCAAGCGACGACGGGUAGCCGGCCU
This 263-nucleotide ribosomal RNA is filed under the name uncultured bacterium. RNAcentral describes it as "partial 16S ribosomal RNA". It matches the Rfam family "Bacterial small subunit ribosomal RNA", at positions 27 to 293 of the family's 1533-position model. The record is from RNAcentral.